ACUCCUGCGGGAGGCAUCAGUGGGGAAUUUUGGACAAUGGGCGAAAGCCUGAUCCAGCAAUGCCGCGUGCAGGAUGAAGGCCUUCGGGUUGUAAACUGCUUUUGUACGGAACGAAAAAGCUCCUUCUAAUACAGGGGGCCCAUGACGGUACCGUAAGAAUAAGCACCGGCUAACUACGUGCCAGCAGCCGCGGUAAUACGUAGGGUGCGAGCGUUAAUCGGAAUUACUGGGCGUAAAGCGUGCGCAGGCGGUUAUGUAAGACAGAUGUGAAAUCCCCGGGCUCAACCUGGGAACUGCAUUUGUGACUGCAUGGCUAGAGUACGGUAGAGGGGGAUGGAAUUCCGCGUGUAGCAGUGAAAUGCGUAGAUAUGCGGAGGAACACCGAUGGCGAAGGCAAUCCCCUGGACCUGUACUGACGCUCAUGCACGAAAGCGUGGGGAGCAAACAGGAUUAGAAACCCGAGUAGUCCCA
This 471-nucleotide ribosomal RNA is filed under the name uncultured organism. RNAcentral describes it as "partial 16S ribosomal RNA". It matches the Rfam family "Bacterial small subunit ribosomal RNA", at positions 335 to 797 of the family's 1533-position model. The record is from RNAcentral.